This 334-nucleotide ribosomal RNA is filed under the name uncultured eukaryote. Its description in RNAcentral is "partial 18S ribosomal RNA". It matches the Rfam family "Eukaryotic small subunit ribosomal RNA", at positions 1470 to 1796 of the family's 1831-position model. The record is from RNAcentral.
CCCUUAGAUGUCCGGGGCCGCACGCGCGCUACACUGAAGGAAUCAGCGUGGCUUUCUCCCUGACCCGAAAGGGUUGGGAAACCCGUUGAAUCUCCUUCGUGAUAGGGAUUGGGGCUUGAAAUUGUUCCCCAUGAACGAGGAAUUCCCAGUAAGCGCGAGUCAUAAGCUCGCGUUAAUUACGUCCCUGCCCUUUGUACACACCGCCCGUCGCUACUACCGAUUGAACGGUUUAGUGAGGGCCUCGGAUUGGUCUCGGCCCGCUCUUUACCGGGCGGCGCCGUUGGUCGAGAAGACGCUCGAACUUGAUCGUUUAGAGGAAGUAAAAGUCGUAACA